GUGGAAGGGAGAAAAUGGCUGUUUGGAGGGGAAAAUACUGUCCUGGAGCUCACUGCUUGGGACCUGACCUCACAGCCCUGUGCAAACCUGCAGAGAGGAGAGAAGAGGCUGGUGACUGAGUGUGCAGAGCCCUAGUCUUCUGCCUCAGGCAUAUUCAGGGCCCACUCUCAUUUGGGAAGCACCUGGCAUCUCCUGAUAAUCCAUUCCUUUGGAUGGACAUUCCACUUGAAAACAGAGCUUCCUCUCUGCCCUCUUCUCCAUUUUCCGCCUUCCUCAUGCUCUGAUUUAGUGCCGGCUCUGACUUUCUGCUUUUCUCUGGGCAGCCAAUUCCCUGGCCCAUCAACAGCACAACGCAACACAAGGACUACAGU
Long non-coding RNA from Mauremys reevesii (Reeves's turtle), 371 nucleotides. RefSeq lists it as uncharacterized. The record is from RefSeq and is a predicted model, not a curated record. The transcript has 3 exons. NCBI's taxonomy places the organism in Eukaryota, Metazoa, Chordata, Testudines, Geoemydidae.